GUGGUUUAAUUUCGAAAGCAACGCGAAGAACCUUACCAGGCCUUGACAUGCUAGGAACCCGGGUGAAAGCCUGGGUGCCCGCGAGGGGAGCCCUAGCACAGGUGCUGCAUGGCCGUCGUCAGCUCGUGCCGUGAGGUGUUGGGUUAAGUCCCGCAACGAGCGCAACCCCUAUUGUUAGUUGCCAUCAUUCAGUUGGGCACUCUAGCGAGACUGCCGGUAAUAAACCGGAGGAAGGUGGGGAUGACGUCAAAUCAUCAUGCCCCUUAUGACCUGGGCUACACACGUGCUACAAUGGUUGGUACAACGAGUUGCGAGUCGGUGACGGCGAGCUAAUCUCUUAAAGCCAAUCUCAGUUCGGAUUGUAGGCUGCAACUCGCCUACAUGAAGUCGGAAUCGCUAGUAAUCGCGGAUCAGCACGCCCGCGGUCGAAUACGUUCCGGGCCUU
RNAcentral lists this ribosomal RNA (445 nucleotides) under uncultured Streptococcus sp. Its description in RNAcentral is "bacterial SSU rRNA". It matches the Rfam family "Bacterial small subunit ribosomal RNA", at positions 941 to 1382 of the family's 1533-position model. The record is from RNAcentral. Lineage: Bacteria; Bacillati; Bacillota; Bacilli; Lactobacillales; Streptococcaceae.